AGAGUUUGAUCAUGGCUCAGGGACCGAAACCGCUGGGCCGGCCGUUGCCUUUUAACCACCAAUGCCAAAGUUCGGAAAACGAAUGGAUCCGGGGUGGGUUGGCCUUUGACCACCCCGGCCCUUGGAUUUUAGGUUGGGCGAAAACGGGGGUUAAGUUUAACCACCGUUGAAGUUAACCCUUGCCCCUUCCAUUUCUUGGGAAUAAACCCUUCGGGAAAAUUCGGGGGCUUAAUACCCGGAAUAUGAGUUUCUUGCCCGCAUGGUGGGGAUUGGAAAGUUUUUUCGGUGAAGGAUGGACUCGCGGCCUAUCAGUUUGUUGGUGAGGUAGUGGCUCACCAAGGCGAUGACGGGUAGCCGGCCUGAGAGGGCGACCGGCCACACUGGGACUGAGACACGGCCCAGACUCCUACGGGAGGCAGCAGUGGGGAAUAUUGCACAAUGGGCGAAAGCCUGAUGCAGCGACGCCGCGUGAGGGAUGACGGCCUUCGGGUUGUAAACCUCUUUCAGCAGGGAAGAAGCGAAAGUGACAGGUACCUGCAGAAAAAGCGCCGGCUAACUACGUGCCAGCAGCCGCGGUAAUACGUAGGGCGCAAGCGUUGUCCGGAAUUAUUGGGCGUAAAGAGCUUGUAGGUGGCUUGUCGCGUCUGCCGUGAAAACCCGAGGCUCAACCUCGGGCGUGCGGUGGGUACGGGCAGGCUAGAGUGUGGUAGGGGAGACUGGAACUCCUGGUGUAGCGGUGAAAUGCGCAGAUAUCAGGAAGAACACCGAUGGCGAAGGCAGGUCUCUGGGCCAUUACUGACACUGAGAAGCGAAAGCAUGGGGAGCGAACAGGAUUAGAUACCCUGGUAGUCCAUGCCGUAAACGUUGGGCACUAGAUGUGGGGAACAUUCCACGUUUUCCGCGUCGUAGCUAACGCAUUAAGUGCCCCGCCUGGGGAGUACGGCCGCAAGGCUAAAACUCAAAGGAAUUGACGGGGGCCCGCACAAGCGGCGGAGCAUGCGGAUUAAUUCGAUGCAACGCGAAGAACCUUACCAAGGCUUGACAUGCACCGGGCGACUCCAGAGAUGGGGUUUUCUUCGGACUGGUGCACAGGUGGUGCAUGGUUGUCGUCAGCUCGUGUCGUGAGAUGUUGGGUUAAGUCCCGCAACGAGCGCAACCCUCGUUCCAUGUUGCCAGCGCGUAAUGGCGGGGACUCAUGGGAGACUGCCGGGGUCAACUCGGAGGAAGGUGGGGACGACGUCAAAUCAUCAUGCCCCUUAUGUCUUGGGCUUCACGCAUGCUACAAUGGCCGGUACAAAGGGUUGCGAAACUGUGAGGUGGAGCGAAUCCCAAAAAGCCGGUCUCAGUUCGGAUUGGGGUCUGCAACUCGACCCCAUGAAGUCGGAGUCGCUAGUAAUCGCAGAUCAGCAACGCUGCGGUGAAUACGUUCCCGGGCCUUGUACACACCGCCCGU
RNAcentral lists this ribosomal RNA (1453 nucleotides) under uncultured bacterium. Its description in RNAcentral is "bacterial SSU rRNA". It matches the Rfam family "Bacterial small subunit ribosomal RNA". The record is from RNAcentral.